UACGUAGGAUGCAAGCGUUGUCCGGAAUUAUUGGGCGUAAAGGGUACGCAGGCGGUGCGGUCAGUCAGUUGUGAAAUCUCCCGGCUUAACUGGGAGGGGUCAAUUGAUACUGCCGCGCUUGAGGACAGAAGAGGAAAGUGGAAUUCCCGGUGUAGCGGUGAAAUGCGUAGAUAUCAGGAGGAACACCAGUGGCGAAGGCGGUUACCUGGGCUUGUUCUGACGCUGAGGCACAAAAGCUGGGGGAGCAAACGGG
This 253-nucleotide ribosomal RNA is filed under the name uncultured prokaryote. RNAcentral describes it as "partial 16S ribosomal RNA". It matches the Rfam family "Bacterial small subunit ribosomal RNA", at positions 524 to 776 of the family's 1533-position model. The record is from RNAcentral.